CGAUUCAACGUCGACGUACAUUCAGUUACAGCCUACAGUGUGGUCAGUGUUCUGUUCGCUACGCCAUUUGCACGUGUUGUCAACAGUCUUCGUCGCAGUUUUCAACGUUUCGAAGGUCCAUACAAUUUUCGCAUUCAAAAUGAAGAAGUCCACGAAUAAUGGAGAAUCUUUGUCCAAUCAGCCUCAGAACAAUCAGCCUCGAAACUCACAGUCUCGACAUGACAUCUUUUUCGGCAGGGGCUUUAUUGGUUUUAACCAACACGAUCGUUUGCCGGUUAUAACACGUGUGUGGAGUUUGGCAUCGGAAACAAACAAUCGGAAACCAACAAAAUGGGAUGGCAAUGAGGAAUAAUAUAUUAUGUCAUAUGUGAAGUAGUUAUAUUAUAUACUAUGAACUUGUACAAUAUAUUACUGUCACACAUUA
Rhopalosiphum padi (bird cherry-oat aphid) is the source of this 424-nucleotide long non-coding RNA. RefSeq lists it as uncharacterized. NCBI's taxonomy places the organism in Eukaryota, Metazoa, Arthropoda, Insecta, Hemiptera, Aphididae. The transcript is spliced from 2 exons. The record is from RefSeq and is a predicted model, not a curated record.